Molecule: unclassified non-coding RNA, 260 nt
Filed under: Hevea brasiliensis (rubber tree)
Lineage: Eukaryota; Viridiplantae; Streptophyta; Magnoliopsida; Malpighiales; Euphorbiaceae
Source: RNAcentral
AGUUGGUGUGGUCCUUACAAUUGUUGUCAUGAACUGGUUCCAAGCUGCACAGCCUGCACUUCUGUAUAUUGUACCAUCUGUAAUUGGAUUCUUAGCAGCUCAUGUGCUAUGGAAUGGCGAAGUCAAACCGUUGAUGGAAUUCGAUGAAUCCAAGAGUGCCACAUCAUCUAAAGAUAGUAGCGAAACCAAGUCUGACAAAAAGGUCGAGUGAAUCGAAACUUUGUAGCGCGGGAUAGAGAUAUUUUUAUUUUCUUUGGGGG